Molecule: ribosomal RNA, 427 nt
Filed under: uncultured bacterium
Lineage: Bacteria
Description: bacterial SSU rRNA
Rfam family: Bacterial small subunit ribosomal RNA
Source: RNAcentral
UGGGGAAUUUUGGACAAUGGACGCAAGUCUGAUCCGGCCAUGCCGCGUGCGGGAAGAAGGCCUUCGGGUUGUAAACCGCUUUUGUCAGGGAAAAAACGAGUUUCUCUAAUACAGAGACUUAGUGACGGUACCUGAAGAAUAAGCACCGGCUAACUACGUGCCAGCAGCCGCGGUAAUACGUAGGGUGCGAGCGUUAAUCGGAAUUACUGGGCGUAAAGCGUGCGCAGGCGGUUAUAUAAGACAGAUGUGAAAUCCCCGGGCUCAACCUGGGAACUGCCUUUGUGACUGCAUAGCUAGAGUACGGUAGAGGGGGAUGGAAUUCCGCGUGUAGCAGUGAAAUGCGUAGAUAUGCGGAGGAACACCGAUGGCGAAGGCAAUCCCCUGGACCUGUACUGACGCUCAUGCAAGAAAGCGUGGGGAGCAAACA